UUAAGGGCAGUAUGAAACAUACACUUUUUUUACAAAAAAGAGAUGGUUAUCCUCCUUGAU
RNAcentral lists this transfer RNA (60 nucleotides) under Lernaea cyprinacea. RNAcentral describes it as "tRNA-Val". The record is from RNAcentral. Lineage: Eukaryota; Metazoa; Arthropoda; Copepoda; Cyclopoida; Lernaeidae.